AGGAAUCAAGGUAGGGGCCUUGCUCACUAGAGUGUAGCGAGUGAAAUAGGAAAGCUGCAAUGAUGGUACUGAUGAACAAGAACGGAGAAGGGGGGGCAUCAAGUCGUCAUAUUGGCGAAGCCUAUUGAGUAUGUGCAAUGACAAAAUCUAGUCAUGGGGAGCCAUCGGAGAGGAGGAGCUAAUUAUUCAGGGCCGAGGCAUAACAAAGAAGCUCACAAUAGUCAAGCAAUUAGGUAAUGCUGAUGGAGGAUAGAGGCUUUGGGGGUGGCUUGUUGGUGUCGAACACCAAUGACCUGUGGGUGGCGGCGGCGGAAGGUGGGGGGGUUGUUUAGGUCGGGAGAAAGAUUAGAUUAAACAGUGUAAAAUGGGCUGUUGGAUUGAUCACAUAAUUUAAUGGCCCAAAUUUAGGAAAAGCCCAAUAACUUGGGGUGGAGAAAUGGGCUGUUGGAUCACAUGAAUCGAUGGUUCAAAAUUUAGGAUAUGCCCAAAUAGGCUAUGGUUGGUUCCUUAGGGGAGGUCAGUCGGGAGAAAAGUUUGGAUUUAAUUGGGGUAGGGAAAUAAAUGGGCUAUUUGAUUAGUUGAGUUGACGGUCCAAAAUUCAGGGCUUGCCCAUUUAGACUAUAGCUGGAUCCUGUGGGAGGAUCAUGAUUGAUCAAGAGAAAAUAAGUGAGAUGAAGAUAUGGGCCAUAGGAUCACAUGAACUGACAGCCCAAAGUUUAGGGUUGCCCAAAUAGGUGAUGGCCGAUCCUAUGAGAGAGUCAUCAUUCAUCAAGAAAAAAAGUGUGGUGGAGAAAUAGGCCAUUGGAUUACAUGAAUCGAUGGCCCAAAUAUGCUAUGGUCUGCUCGUGACGGCCAAAAUAAGCAGGGUGGAGAAAUGGGUCGUUAAAUCAAUGAAUUGAUUAUCCUAAAUUUAAUUAGAACAUGACCAACAAAUUGGAUAUAGUCAGAUCCUAACAGGAUGGUCAUGAUCCAUAAGAGAAGAGAAGAGGGGUGGAGAAAUCGGCCGUUGGAUCACAUGAAUUAAUGCCCAAAAAUUUUAAAAUAUGCCCAAAUAGUACUCUAUGGUUGGAUCGAGGGUUGUCGUGAUCAAUUGACAGAAAAUAAGUGAGGUGCAGAGAUGGGUCGUGGGGUACAUGGAAUUAAUGGUAAAAAAUAGGACAUGCCAAAUAGGCUAUGUUGGGAUCCUAAUGGGAUAGUCAUGGUUGGUCGAGAGAACAGAAGUGGGCCGGGGUGAAGAAAUAAUGGGCUGCUGGAUCACAUGAGAGUC
Molecule: long non-coding RNA, 1267 nt
Filed under: Setaria viridis
Lineage: Eukaryota; Viridiplantae; Streptophyta; Magnoliopsida; Poales; Poaceae
Description: long non-coding RNA (SVIR_LNC009826)
Source: RNAcentral